Molecule: long non-coding RNA, 345 nt
Filed under: Numida meleagris (helmeted guineafowl)
Lineage: Eukaryota; Metazoa; Chordata; Aves; Galliformes; Numididae
Description: lncRNA (ENSNMEG00000007522.1)
Source: RNAcentral
AUGCUGACAGGUAAACUAAUAUUAAGAGCAAAGCUCUACGCAGCUGUGUAUGUGUGUGCACUUCUGGGGAACUGGCUGGUUCUGUAUAGUUGGAAUUUCUUUUCUCAGGAUGAGUUUUCUUCUUCCUUACUGGUGCAUAAGACCAAGUCUGGAUCAAGCCCUUCUCACAUGCCGAAGUCUCAUCCAAAAUCAUCUAGGCAGCUACAGAUGCUUGAACCACACAGUGUCCCUCAAAGAAGAAAUGACUGAAGAUAAGGGGGAAUAGUUGAAGAAAACACAAGUCUAUUUUUAGUGGUCCUUUUCCAUUCUUGAAGUCUCAAUAAAUACUGAGACACUCUCCCUGCA